UUCCGCAGUAGCUCAGUGGUAGAGCUAUCGGCUGUUAACCGAUCGGUCGUAGGUUCGAAUCCUACCUGCGGAGCCAU
This 77-nucleotide transfer RNA is filed under the name Staphylococcus hominis SK119. RNAcentral's name for it is "tRNA-Asn". It matches the Rfam family "tRNA". From Rfam's summary of the family: Transfer RNA (tRNA) molecules are approximately 80 nucleotides in length. The record is from RNAcentral. Lineage: Bacteria; Bacillati; Bacillota; Bacilli; Caryophanales; Staphylococcaceae.